Long non-coding RNA from Ictalurus punctatus (channel catfish), 516 nucleotides. The record is from Ensembl. NCBI's taxonomy places the organism in Eukaryota, Metazoa, Chordata, Actinopteri, Siluriformes, Ictaluridae.
UCUUUCUCUCUCUCUCUCAGACACAAACACACACACACACUUGGGGAGGUGGGCGGAGGAUGCAGGGGCAGCCAUGAUGCACGGUGGGGGGAGCGCUGCAGAGAGAGAGAGAGCGAGAGAGAGAGAGAGAGAGAGAGAGAGAGAGAGAGAGAGAGAGAGAGAGAGAUAGAGGAGGGGGGCGGCAGGGAGAGAGAGAGAGAGAGAGAGAGAGAGAGAUACGCAAGCCCAGUACACUCUGACAUUAACACACCCAGAGGAAGCAGCAGUACAAACGAGGAGAGAGGAAAGGAAUAUCCUCAUCCAUCAGGCAAGAUGCUGUGGAGAAUAAACUAACACAGAAACAUUGGAAAUCAUUGGGGAAAAACAGAGCAAAAAAACUUUGUUCAACUCCUGAACGCCUACUGUUUCUUACCCUUGGCUGUUUCAGGCAAGUUAAUAAUUAGUUUCAACCAGACACCCUGUGGAACAUUCUAUCUAAUGUGAUAGACUGACUAAGCUUGGGAGCUAUCUUCCAAA